AGAGGGGGCAAGCGUUGUUCGGAAUUACUGGGCGUAAAGGGCGCGUAGGCGGCCUUCUAAGUCGAACGUGAAAUCCCUGGGCUCAACCCAGGAACUGCGUCCGAGACUGGAAGGCUCGAAUCCGGGAGAGGGAUGUGGAAUUCCAGGUGUAGCGGUGAAAUGCGUAGAUAUCUGGAGGAACAUCGGUGGCGAAGGCGGCAUCCUGGACCGGUAUUGACGCUGAGGCGCGAAAGCCAGGGGAGCAAACGGGAUUAGAUACCCCGGUAGUCCUGGCCCUAAACGAUGAAUGCUUGGUGUGGCGGGUAUCGAUCCCUGCCGUGCCGAAGCUAACGCAUUAAGCAUUCCGCCUGGGGAGUACGGUCGCAAGGCUG
RNAcentral lists this ribosomal RNA (371 nucleotides) under uncultured bacterium. Its description in RNAcentral is "bacterial SSU rRNA". It matches the Rfam family "Bacterial small subunit ribosomal RNA", at positions 527 to 896 of the family's 1533-position model. The record is from RNAcentral.